RNAcentral lists this transfer RNA (82 nucleotides) under Pseudomonadota bacterium. RNAcentral's name for it is "tRNA-Tyr". It matches the Rfam family "tRNA". From Rfam's summary of the family: Transfer RNA (tRNA) molecules are approximately 80 nucleotides in length. Their secondary structure includes four short double-helical elements and three loops (D, anti-codon, and T loops). Further hydrogen bonds mediate the characteristic L-shaped molecular structure. tRNAs have two regions of fundamental functional importance: the anti-codon, which is responsible for specific mRNA codon recognition, and the 3' end, to which the tRNAs corresponding amino acid is attached (by aminoacyl-tRNA synthetases). tRNAs cope with the degeneracy of the genetic code in two manners: having more than one tRNA (with a specific anti-codon) for a particular amino acid; and 'wobble' base-pairing, i.e. permitting non-standard base-pairing at the 3rd anti-codon position. RNAcentral also lists the same sequence under 1 other name. Lineage: Bacteria; Pseudomonadati; Pseudomonadota. The record is from RNAcentral.
GGGCAGGUGGCCGAGUGGACAAUGGCACCAGACUGUAAAUCUGGCGGCGUAGCCUUCGGAGGUUCGAAUCCUUCCCUGCCCA